RNAcentral lists this ribosomal RNA (425 nucleotides) under uncultured bacterium. RNAcentral describes it as "bacterial SSU rRNA". It matches the Rfam family "Bacterial small subunit ribosomal RNA", at positions 355 to 796 of the family's 1533-position model. The record is from RNAcentral.
CAAGGAAUUUUCCGCAAUGGGCGAAAGCCUGACGGAGCAACGCCGCGUGUGGGAUGACGCCUUUCGGGGUGUAAACCACUUUUCUUGGGGACGACGAACGACGGUACCCGAGGAAGAAGGACCGGCUAACUACGUGCCAGCAGCCGCGGUAAUACGUAGGGUCCGAGCGUUGUCCGGAGUUACUGGGCGUAAAGCGCGCGCAGGCGGCUGGACAAGCCUGGCGUGAAAGCCCCCGGCUCAACCGGGGAGGGUCGUCGGGGACUGUCGAGCUUGAGGACGGCAGGGGUCGGUGGAACGCCCGGUGUAGUGGUGAAAUGCGUAGAGAUCGGGCAGAACACCUGUGGCGAAGGCGGCCGACUGGGCCGGACCUGACGCUGAGGCGCGAAGGCGUGGGGAGCGAACGGGAUUAGAUACCCCCGUAGUCC